UUCGAUUAUGGCUCAGAUUGAACGCUGGCGGGAUGCUUUACAUACAGUCGAGCAGCCUUCGGACUUCGGUCUGGUGGCGAGUGGCGAACGGGUGAGUAAUGUGUCGGAACGUGCCUAGUAGCGGGGGAUAACUACGCGAAAGCGUAGCUAAUACCGCAUACGCCCUUCGGGAAAGCGGGGACCUUCGGGCCUCGCACUAUUAGAGCAGCCGAUAUCGGAUUAGCUAGUUGGUGGGGUAACGGCUCACCAAGGCGACGAUCCGUAGCUGGUUUGAAGGACGACCAGCCACACACUGGGACUGAAGACACGGCCCAGACUCCUGCAGGGAGGCAGCAGUGGGAAUUUUGGACAAUGGAAACCCUGAUCCAGCCAUCCCACGUGUGCGAUGAAGGCCUUCGGGUUGUAAAGCACUUUUGGCAGGAAAGAAACGGCACCGGGAUAAUACCCCGUGCAACUGACGGUACCUGCAGAAUAAGCACCGAUAACUACGUGCCAGCAGCCGCGGUAAUACGUAGGGUGCAAGCGUUAAUCAGUUACUGGGCGUAAAGCGUGCGCAGGCGGUUCCGGAAAGAAAGAUGUGAAAUCCCGAAACCUUUGGAACUGCAUUUUUAACUACCGAGCUAGAGUGUGUCAGAGGAGGUGGAAUUCCGCGUGUACAGCAGUGAAAUGCGUAGAUGUGCGGAGGAACACCGAUGGCGAAGGCAGCCUCCUGGGAUAACACUGACGCUCAUGCACGAAAGCGUGGGGAGCAAACAGGAUUAGAUACCCUGGUGGUCGCCCUAAACGAUGUCAACUAGCUGUUGGGGCCUUCAGACGCCGUUGUAGCGCAGCUAACGUGAAGUUGACCGCCUGGGGAAAUUACAGUCGCAAGAUUAAAAACUCAAAGGAAUUGACGGGGACCGCACAAGCGGUGGAUGAUGUGGAUUAAUUCGAUGCAACGCGAAAAAGCCUUACCCACCCUUGACAUGUCUGGAAUCCCGAAGAAGAGAUUUGGGAGUGCUCGCAAGAGAACCGGAACACAGGUGCUGCAUGGCUGUCGUCAGCUCGUGUCGUGAGAUGUUGGGUUAAGUCCCGCAACGAGCGCAACCCUUGUCAUUAGUUGCUACGAAAGGGCACUCUAAUGAGACUGCCGGUGACAAACCGGAGGAAGGUGGGGAUGACGUCAAGUCCUCAUGGCCCAUAUGGGUAGGGCUUCACACGUCAUACAAUGGUCGGGACAGAGGGUCGCCAACCCGCGAGGGAGCCAAUCCCAGAAACCCGAUCGUAGUCCGGAUCGCAGUCUGCAACUCGACUGCGUGAAGUCGGAAUCGCUAGUAAUCGCGGAUCAGCAUGUCGCGGUGAAUACGUUCCCGGGUCUUGUACACACCGCCCGUCACACCAUGGGAGUGGGUUUUACCAGAAGUAGUUAGCCUAUUACGCGGAGGGCGAUUACCACGGUAGGAUUCAUGAAGGCUGGGGUGAAGUCGUAACGGUAACCCUGUUACUACCUGAUGCUCCCUCCUGGGAGCAUCGGAUGGUAACAGAGAAGUUUGAUUAUGGCUCAGAUUGAACGCUGGCGGGAUGCUUUACACAUGCAAGUCGAACGGCAGCACGGACUUCGGUCUGGUGGCGAGUGGCGAACGGGUGAGUAAUGUAUCGGAACGUGCCUAGUAGCGGGGGAUAACUACGCGAAAGCGUAGCUAAUACCACAUACAUGCCCAAGGGGAAAAAGCGGGGGACCUUCGGGCCUCACUACAAUAGAGCGGCCGAUAUCGGAUUAGCUAGUUGGUGGGGUAACGGCUCGCAAGGCGACGAUCCGUAGCUUUGGUUUGAGAGGACGACCAACCACACUGGGACUGAGACACGGCCCAGACUCCUACGGGAAGCAGCAGUGGGGGAAUUUUGGACAAUGGGAAACCUGAUCCAGCCAUCCCACGUGUGUGAUGAAGGCCUUCGGGUUGUAAAGCACUUUGGCGGAAGAAACGGCACGGGAUAAUACCCCGCGUGCAACUGACGGUACCUGCAGAAUAAGCACCGGCUAACUACGUGCCAGCAACCGCGGUAAUACGUAGGGUGCAAGCGUUAAUCGGAAUUACUGGGCGUAAAGCGUGCGCAGGCGGUUCGGAAAAGAAGAUGUGAAAUCCCAGAGCUUAACUUUGGAACUGCAUUUUUAACUACCGAGCUAGAGUGUGUCAGAGGGAGGUGGAAUUCCGCGUGUUAGCAGUGAAAUGCGUAGAUAUGCGGAGGAACGAUGGCGAAGGCGGCCUCCUGGGAUAACACUGACGCUCAUGCACGGCAUGGGAGCAAACAGAGUUAGAUACCCUGGUAGUCCACUAAACGUCAUCAACUAGCUGUUGGGGCCUUCCGGGCCUUGGUGGCGCAAUAACGCGUGAAGUUGACCGCCUGGGGAGUACGGUCGCAAGAUUAAAACUCAAAGGAAUUGACGGGGACCCGCACAAGCGGUGGAUGAUGUGGAUUAAUUCGAUGCAACGCGAAAAACCUUACCUACCGCCAGCGUAUCACGAUCCCGAAGAGAUUUGGGAGUGCUCGCAAGAGAACCGGAAUACAGGUGCUGCAUGGCUGUCGUCAGCUCGUGUAUUGAGAUGUUGGGUUAAGUCCCGCAACGAGCGCAACCCUUGUCGUAGUUGCUACGAAGGGCAUCUGGCGGGCAGUGACAAACCGGAGGAAGGUGGGGAUGACGUCAGAGUCCCCGCGGCCCUUAUGGGUAGGGCUUCACGCGUCAUACAAUGGUCGGGACAGAGGGUCGCCAACCCGCGAGGAGCCAAUCCCGAAACCCGAUCGUAGUCCGGAUCGCGGUCGCUCCCUGACCGUGAAGUCGGAAUCGCUGGUAAUCGCGGAUCAGCAUGUCGCAGUGAAUACGUUCCGGGUCUUGUACACCGCCCGUCACACCAUGGGAGUGGGUUUUACCAGAAGUAGUUAGCCUAACCGUAAGGAGGGCGAUUACCACGGUAGGAUUCAUGACUGGGGUGAAGUCGUAAUAAGGUAGC
RNAcentral lists this unclassified non-coding RNA (2987 nucleotides) under uncultured Bordetella sp. Its description in RNAcentral is "partial 16S-23S ribosomal RNA intergenic spacer". The stretch from base 1 to 1491 matches the Rfam family "Bacterial small subunit ribosomal RNA". The record is from RNAcentral. Lineage: Bacteria; Pseudomonadati; Pseudomonadota; Betaproteobacteria; Burkholderiales; Alcaligenaceae.